AUGGAGGAGUGCAGUUCACCCUCUCUCUCUCUCUAUAUAUAUAUAUAUAUAGAGAUAUAUGAGUACUUGGUUGUUUUGGUUUGCGGGUUUUAGCUCUGUUCUCUUAUCCCUAAACCUCAACGCGCACACAUUCUAUGUACCUAUCCCUGCGCUACCAUUCACACAUCACACAGUAUGCUAGCCUCUCUCUCUCUCUCUCUCUGCAUAAUGUGAAUAUAUUAGCAUUAGUAUGUUAUAUGCGAGUUAGGUUUAUUUUGGUUUGCUUAAAUGAAAAUCUCACGAAUUUCGAUCAAGGCGUGAGCCACUCAUAGAUCUCUACACUGCACACCCAAUUUCCUUUCUCCAUUUCUCUCAUCCUUCAUCUCCACGCAACCUAACUCAAUCCAGAUCCACUGAAAAUCGAAAACAUGGUACCAGAGAGGCCGUGAAAGCUAGAUAGUCAGAUCGCUCAUUUACAGAAAGAGAAAAAGAGAAAGCAACGACGGUAAAUCCUUCUUUGGAGAUUAAUUUAACACCAUUCAUCAUUUGAUGGUUUAAUUAACGGAAGAGAGAGAAAGAGAAAUAGAAAAGAGGUUUGUUUGUUGAGCGAGGGUUUAUAGAGGGGAGAGAGAGAGAGAGAUCGGAGAAGAAAAUGUCGUCGUCGAAUUCACCUUGCGCAGCGUGCAAGUUCUUGCGGAGGAAGUGCACGCAGGAGUGCGUUUUCGCGCCGUAUUUCCCGCCGGACAACCCGCAGAGGUUCGCAUACGUGCACAAGGUUUUCGGCGCCAGCAACGUCGCCAAGCUGCUGAACGAACUCAACGCCGCGCAGAGAGACGACGCCGUGAAGUCGUUGGCGUACGAGGCUGAGGCGCGUUUAAGAGACCCCGUCUACGGUUGCGUGGGUCUCAUAUCGGUGCUGCAGCACCGGCUCCGGCAGAUCCAGGUGGAGCUCACCAACGCCAAGAAGGAGCUCGCCACCUACAUUGGCCCUCAGGCACUGCAGGGUGUCCCAACCACCGCCAUUCUCCAGCAUCACCAUUCCUUUGCCUCGCAGAUGUUCCCUUACAACAGCGCCAUGGCUGCUCCGCCAGCUAUUGCUCAUGGCGGACAGUUGAUGAUUCGCGACGCUCAGACUGCCCCUCCGACUCCGCAACAGCAGAUCUUGGAGGCUCAGCAGCUGGCUGCUGCGGUGGUGGUGAGGGAUCAACAAGAUAUGUUCAGAGGGUAUGAUCAGCAUCAUCAACAGCAAGAGUUUCUGAGGUUUAAUGGUGGAGGGUUUGAUAUGGGUUCGGUUUCUUCCGGUGGUGGUGGGUACAGCCAGGUUAGUGGCGGUGGAAGUGGUGGCGGUUCUGGUGAUCAGUUGUCUCCUUCGUUGGCUUUGGGGUCUUUUGACAAUCCAUACCAUAUGCAGCAAGGGGAAAGCCAUGCUCACCAUCUUCCUCUUCAGGCGCAGCUACUUCUCCCACCGCAGCAGAAGCAGGCUCAACAGCAAGCACAGUCACAGCAUAUUCCCGGCCACCACCACCAGCAACCUUCGGAAAGCGAGGAGUGUAGGAGUGUCGGUCCAUCUUGUUGAUUCCCAAUUUUGACACAUCUUACGCCUUCCUCCUUUUUUGCUUCAACAAUUUUCAGAUUAGGUUUUAAAGAUGUGCGGGGUCAAGUCUAGUUUGGUGGGAGCAGAAAGGAACAAAUGUGAGUGUUGAUGGUAGUAAGCAAAAGGGUAGGUUCAGGGGAAUGGUCUUUUCAAAAUGAGAGGAGAUAAAGGCUUCUGUUCAUCAAUUAUGAGAACAUGAGCAGUUAAUUGCCGCUUUGGGGUUGCCAGCAAAUUAAAGCAUAUUUAUUUAUUUGUUUUCUGUGAAGGAGAAGUCUCAUGCUUGCUGGGGUAACAAAACAAUGUUCUACAUGUCCAUGUGUUUUAUUUUUUAAUUAAAAAAAAAAGAAGACCAUAUAUAUUAUGCUCUGAAGUCAAGUAACGUAACUGUAGCGGUGUCACUGAAAUUCGGCAAUCUAUCAAUUCAAUGCCUUGGCUUUUGCAA
Molecule: RNA transcript, 2015 nt
Organism: Arachis ipaensis
Lineage: Eukaryota; Viridiplantae; Streptophyta; Magnoliopsida; Fabales; Fabaceae
Gene name: LOB domain-containing protein 10 pseudogene
Source: RefSeq, a predicted model, not a curated record